GACGAGUCGAGGAAAACGCAAAGGUGCGUAUUUUUAAGAUAGAGGGCAUCAGGCCUUUGGCCAGACGCGGGAAGCGUCGAUGCUGACACACCCUUGAUGUGAACGAGAAGGAGUCACA
This is a small RNA of Lactobacillus delbrueckii subsp. bulgaricus, 118 nucleotides long. It matches the Rfam family "COG3610-DE RNA". The record is from Rfam. NCBI's taxonomy places the organism in Bacteria, Bacillati, Bacillota, Bacilli, Lactobacillales, Lactobacillaceae.